CUAUUCACGGUGCCUAUACCACGUGACUUUUUAAGAUCUGUGUGGGGAGUAAAAUGUCAACAAAUGCGCGACGAAGGUAUGGUCCAAUGCUCCGACUGCGGAAAAAUGUUGAAGACCAGAGCUGGAUUAUUGCGCCACAUUAUUUGACACGCUAACUCUGGAAACUAUUACUGCUGUGGGAAAGCAUUUCAGGAUGCCUACAAUCUUAGAGGGCUUCAAAGAACGAAGGACCCAAAUGUCACAUGUGUGUACAGUGCGGCAGGAGCUUUGCGGACAAGUACCUACUCGUGGCUCAAGAGAAAAGUGCAAAAAAGAGGGAC
This is a long non-coding RNA of Dreissena polymorpha, 320 nucleotides long. RefSeq lists it as uncharacterized. Lineage: Eukaryota; Metazoa; Mollusca; Bivalvia; Myida; Dreissenidae. The transcript is spliced from 3 exons. The record is from RefSeq and is a predicted model, not a curated record.